CCGGACUUUAGCCUUGUGGGGGUGGUACACCCCCGAGGGGUUUAAAGCAAGGCUGUGAUGUCACCGGCGUUGGCUUUUAAGUAGCUCGUUCAGGCGCUUCUCAUCCUUCUUUCUUUUGCGUCCGCUCAUCUUCAUAUCUUGUGACACAUAAACUACAUGUGAUUAAAGUGGUGACACUAAAAACAGGAACUGGUAGUAGGCUGACAUUUACGCAUGCAUAGUCCGUCAUCUGCUGCCAUGUGACAAGCAGUUCUGCAGGUGCACUUUAUGGCCCAUUCUCUACCAUGGUUGUUGCUCCUCCUUGGUCUUUUCAUAGGGUCAGGAACACUGGGAGAAGAUACAGUGGGGAAGAUAUCCUUGGGGAGUUGGCCACUUGGCCCCUGGAGGUCCCAGCAGAGCAAGAGGUAGAAAGUGUUACAUGGAGCUCUUGAGAGCGUGUUGCUGUUUUACAACAAGGAUGAACAGACAAACCAGUUCUGGUUUCUGAGACUCAGGGACCCUACAGUGGAUGACUGAACAUUCCCCACCACAGCUACUCUCUUCAGAUCAGCCCCCUGAGGCUGCAGGACUAUAAGCCUAUAAGCCUGGGUAACUCUGCAUACUUCCUCAAUCAUUAUCACCAGGGAUUUCACCCUGCUUGUCUAUGAGAUGCUGUAGGAGUUGAACAUCUUUGCCAGCUCCCAGAUCAUGAAGGAUGGGACCUGCUUCAUCACCCUGGCCUGCUCCCUGGAACAGGCUGGAGAGAAUGUGCAGAACAGCUGGGAGCCUCCUAGUCAUGGGGCAGUUGUGUCCCAUGGGGGGACCACUCUCAGUGUCCCCUGGAUAUCUGGGGAAAGUGAGAGCUAUCACUGCACUGCCAGGAAUCCCACCAGCCAGAGCUCCAGCUCUGUCCUUACCAGACCCCUUUGCUCAGGAGCAAUUGAAGAAAGGGAGGAGCCAGAUUAGUUGGCAGCAGGAAGUGUCUCUGGGGUGGCAGGAGACAAGGGCUCUGGAGCCACCAUCCCAGGGCCCGCUUCGGUCCACCUUUUCUCUGUUGGCCUCGGUCCUCUGUGCCUGACCUGCUGCAGACUCAGCGAGGCAUUCAGCUCAUUCCUGGGACUCCCUGAGGAAAAGUGCUGCCUCACCCACACUCAACCCUGCACAGCCCACUGAGGAGAGCUUCGAAACCCCUUGCCUGUGUUCUCAGAGAGGACUUACCACCUCCCCUUGCCUAGAGGUGCUCUGAGAGACACUUGAGGCUGUGCUCUUCUGGCAGGCAAGGGGAGGCCUCUCAUGGUGUCCCUGGUCCCAUUUGGCUUAGUCAUAGGUCAUGGCUGGAAACUGUGUUAGUUCAAACAUAUCCUGUCUCUCCUCUUCUCAGUUGCCUUCUGAAACAGCUGUCUUUCCUGACUCCAGAUCUUCAAUCAUUCAUUCUCCACCCACUUGCUGCUGAUUUGCCCCUCCAGCUACAUCCUGAUGGAUAAAUUCAUUGGCCACUUUUAAAUUCUGUUAUCCUUGGCUUCUCCCAGCACUUGACACAUUAACCUGCUCUCCUUUGUCACCUGGGCUGCUCUCUCCUGGGACAUCUUCCCUUGGAUCAGGAUCCUUCUCAAGACUGGUGCCUCAGGCCUUUCUCCACUCCCCUUGUUUUCUUUCUGUUGCCAAAGGCAGAAAUGCCAGUGUCAUUUAGGGCCCCUCCUCUUCCCCACCACAUCCUGCCAUUGCUCACCCUUUCCCUUUAUUCCUUGCCUGGACCACUCCACAAACUCCUAACCACUCCUUCCUUCCUUAAUCUUUUCCUUCCCAAUCAUCUUCCAGAUUGCACUGCCAGAGGUCUAAUUCUAAAUUAAGAAAUGCUUGUGUUACUUUUUAGCUUAAAACUUUAGGACAUGAGAGGGAAUGUGGAAGUGUUGAUUAAACGGUAAUAGUUUCAGACAGACAGGAGGAAUAGGUUUUGAGAUCUAUUGCACAGAAGGCGACCAUGGUCAAUAAUAAUGUAUUAUACAGUUCAAAAUAGCUGAGGGAGUACAUUUCAAAUGUCUCACCGUAAAAAAUGGUAGGUGAGUGAAGAUAUGUUAAUUAAUUUGAUUUAAUCAUGCCACAUUGUAUACAUGAUCAAAAAUCACAUUGUUCACCGUAAAUGCAUGCUGCUGUGAUUUGUCAAUCAAAAAUAGUAAAUAUUUUAAAAACUAAAAAAAAGCCCUAUGAUGUCUGCCCACUAUCUAAGGUAUUUAAACAAUUAUUCAUUCAUUUAAGCCACAGGUAUUUACUGAGUAUCUUUUAUGAACCCUGUGCUGUUCUAACCAUUGUAGAUACAAUGAAGAAGAGGUCCAGAUAAAUUUCUACCCCUCAUGUAAAUCACUGUUACAAUCAUCACAACCUGCACCUGACUAGCUUUUUGGCCAUUUCAUCUUCCAGUCAGCCCUGGGAAAUGACUUUGGGAGAGUUCUGUAUUUUGUUGUACAAAGACAACAUUGAAUGUGUUCUAUUAUGGGCUUUUUGUGUCUGUGCUCUCCACUGAACUGUGAGAAAAACACAUUCUUACUGUUCUCUGCAUCUCUAAUACACAACGAGUAAUAGGUGUCAAAAAAUGUGGGUCUGACAAGUAUUUAAAAAGCAUCUGCGCUGGGUGUUGUGGGACACAUGCAGACAUGAUAAUUGGCUGUAGACGUUCACAGUCUCCCUCUCUCUACGGGGCCUGAUGGACAUUUCAGUUCCGCCCCCACAUUCGGCUACCUGAAGGGGCCUCCAGCCCAGCCAUGCCUCUGACUUGUCUUCCUUCAAAAUCAUUUUCCCUGUUUCUCUGUCUUCCUGUCUUCCUUUUCUCCCAAUUACUAACUUGUGGUCAUUGUUCAUUCAGCCUCCUUUGUACCCCACUCCCUGAGGAAAGAAUUUCUUCCUUUUUUGAUUCUGGGAGUUUUGGGGAUUGAAUAGAUUUCACCUGGACAUGGGGAGAAACCAAGAAGAGAAGUACGAGAUGGCGGCCAUCCUGUGAGACACAGAGUUAAAGAAGUUCGCAUGUGGAGUGCUGCCUGAGGCCAGCAUUUCCUGGUGUGAGAGAAGGACAUUGACACUGAUUAAGGCAUAAACCCUAUUUCAUUUACAAACUGAGUUCAAAAUUAUCAGGAAACUGCUAUGUGUCUUCUGUUUAAAAUAAUCUGUUUAUGUUUUAUUGAAGUGUGUUUUUAAGUGUUCAGAAAGAAAAAGGAGCUUAUUUAUUUAAGAAAAAUUGAAUGGAACAUAAAAACAUUGUUAUUGUCACACAUAUAUAUUAUUAAGUUUUUGUUAAUGUUUAAAUAACUAGAUUCAGCCCAGCUUCAGCUUGAAUGUCAUCUCCUUGGAGCAGCCUUUGGCCACUAUACUUAAGUAGAUCUUUCCUCUCAUUCAUAAUCAAUGUAUGUUUAAAAAAAUAAUCUGGAGUCUGUUAGGCUGAGACGGCCCUAGCAAUCUGGGAUUCUACACAAGCAAACAGAAAACCAACUCAGAAUGACUUAACCAGUCGGAAACCACCAGACUAACUCAGCUCCAGGAUUGUCCCUUCUGGAAGCUAUCCCAUGCGGCUGUCCCUGCCUUAUACAGGAUCUACCUUGGCAGAGGGAAAACAACUCUUGGUCCUUGUCAUGGUAAAUUUUAUGUGUCAACUUGACUGGGCUAAGGGAUGCUCAGAUACCAGAUAAAAUAUUGUUGCUGGGUGUUUUCAGAGGUCAUCAGCAUUGGAAUCAGUAGAUGAAGUAAAGAAGAUUGCCCUCACCAAUGAGGGCAGGCAUCACACAUCUAUCGAGGACCUGAAUAGAACAAAAACGCAGAGAGGAGGGAUAAGGAAGGACUUGUUAAAGAUUACAAAAUUAUAGCUAGAUAGGAGGAAUAAGAGGAAUAAGUUAUAGUGUUCUAUACCACUCUAGGAUGACUACAGUUAACAAUAAUGUACAGUUUUAGAUAACUAGAAGGAGGACAUUGAAUGUUCCCAACACAAAGAAAUGAUAAAUGUUUGAGAUGACAAGUAUGUUAAUUACCCUUAUGUUAUCACUACAAAUUAUAUGGCUCUAAACAUCACUAUGUACUCCAAGAAUAUGUACAAUUAUCAUUUGUCAAUUAAAAAUAUAUACAUACCAUGGAAUACUAUGCAGCUAUAAAAAAGAAUGGGAUCAUGUUUUCUGCGGGAACAUGGAUGGUGCUGGAGGCCAUUAUCCUUAGCAAACUAACACAGGAACAGAAAACCAAAUACUGCAUGUUCUCACUUAUAAGUGGAAGCUAAGUGAUAACUCAUGGACACAAAGAAGGGAACAACAGACACUGGGGCCUACUUGAGGGUGGAGGGUGGGAAGAGGGAGAGGAGCAGAAAAAAUAAUGAUUGAAUAGUAGGCUUAGUAUCCGGGAGAUGAAAUAAUCUACCUGACAAAUCCCCAUGACACGAGUUUACCUACAUAACACAUCUGCGUAUAUACCCCUGAACCUAAAAUAAAAAUUAAAAAAUAAAAUAAAAACAGAAAGGUGAAGGAUGGAAGGAAAUUAGUUUCUUUGCUUGAGUUGAGACAUCCAUCUUCUCCUCCCCUCAG
RNAcentral lists this long non-coding RNA (4535 nucleotides) under Homo sapiens (human). Its description in RNAcentral is "HSALNT0016369". The record is from RNAcentral. Lineage: Eukaryota; Metazoa; Chordata; Mammalia; Primates; Hominidae.